UACAGAGGGUGCAAGCGUUAAUCGGAAUUACUGGGCGUAAAGCGCAUGUAGGUGGUUUGGCAAGUUGGAUGUGAAAGCCCUGGGCUUAACCUGGGAACUGCAUUCAAAACUAUCAAGCUAGAGUAGAGUAGAGGGAAGUGGAAUUUCCGGUGUAGCGGUGAAAUGCGUAGAUAUCGGAAGGAACACCAGUGGCGAAGGCGGCUUCCUGGACUCAUACUGACACUGAGGUGCGAAAGCGUGGGGAGCAAACAGG
RNAcentral lists this ribosomal RNA (253 nucleotides) under uncultured bacterium. Its description in RNAcentral is "partial 16S ribosomal RNA". It matches the Rfam family "Bacterial small subunit ribosomal RNA", at positions 524 to 776 of the family's 1533-position model. The record is from RNAcentral.